GUGGMCGACYGUGUGGUUGGCUGCGGCGCUUGCACAACUUCCAUGCUUUCAGACCUYUUCAGUUGUGCGGCAAGGCUUGUAUCGCCUUGAGCGUAUUGUGGGUUUUCUGUGUUGAAUACCUAAUCAAUGGUAUCGGUUGGAUUGAUCAAAGUCUCGUUUCGUCUUCCGUCGCAUUCGCGGCGUGAGGUGAACAUCGAUGCGGUCUCUUUGAUCCACCUCGUCGAAGCACAUGCUUUGACGUUGUGGCWCAUUGAGCAUUGCUUGGUCUCUUGUAUACGGAACAUAUAGUGGGCAUGGAUCUAACGAUUCUUGUUUGCCCUCAUAUAGCGUAACGCUUCUCUAACACGACGUGUGCCACGUUUUAGCUCGUACGGACGUGGUGCUAUGUCGAAGAGGAAUGCUACCUGGUUGAUCCUGCCAGUAGUCAUAUGCUUGUCUCAAAGAUUAAGCCAUGCUGGUKKUAAGUA
RNAcentral lists this unclassified non-coding RNA (467 nucleotides) under Ajania fruticulosa. Its description in RNAcentral is "partial contains external transcribed spacer and small subunit ribosomal RNA". The record is from RNAcentral. Lineage: Eukaryota; Viridiplantae; Streptophyta; Magnoliopsida; Asterales; Asteraceae.